CUUUCUUUGCUGGCGACCGGCGCACGGGUGAGUAACACGUAUCAACCUGCCCUUUUACUCGGGGGUAGCCUUUCGAAAGAAAGAUUAAUACCCGAUAGCAUAAUGAUUCCGCAUGGUUUCAUUAUUAAAGGAUUCCGGUAAAGGAUGGGGAUGCGUUCCAUUAGGUUGUUGGUGAGGUAACGGCUCACCAAGCCUUCGAUGGAUAGGGGUUCUGAGAGGAAGGUCCCCCACAUUGGAACUGAGACACGGUCCAA
This 254-nucleotide ribosomal RNA is filed under the name uncultured bacterium. RNAcentral's name for it is "partial 16S ribosomal RNA". It matches the Rfam family "Bacterial small subunit ribosomal RNA", at positions 79 to 334 of the family's 1533-position model. The record is from RNAcentral.